UUUCUGAUUGAAACGUAGAAGUCAAAAUUUACUCUUUCAGUGCUGCUACUUUCACAUUUAGCACAAUAAUAUAGUA
Aricia agestis (brown argus) is the source of this 76-nucleotide long non-coding RNA. RefSeq lists it as uncharacterized. Lineage: Eukaryota; Metazoa; Arthropoda; Insecta; Lepidoptera; Lycaenidae. The transcript has 3 exons. The record is from RefSeq and is a predicted model, not a curated record.